GUGGGGAAUCUUCCGCAAUGGACGAAAGUCUGACGGAGCAACGCCGCGUGAGUGAUGAAGGUCUUCGGAUUGUAAAGCUCUGUUAAUCGGGACGAAAGAGCCUAGUGUGAAUAAUGCUAGGAAGUGACGGUACCGGAAUAGAAAGCCACGGCUAACUACGUGCCAGCAGCCGCGGUAAUACGUAGGUGGCAAGCGUUGUCCGGAAUUAUUGGGCGUAAAGCGCGCGCAGGCGGAUCUGCCAGUCUGUCGUAAAAGUUCGGGGCUUAACCCCGUGAUGGGAUGGAAACUACAGAUCUAGAGUAUCGGAGAGGAAAGUGGAAUUCCUAGUGUAGCGGUGAAAUGCGUAGAUAUUAGGAAGAACACCAGUGGCGAAGGCGACUUUCUGGACGAAAACUGACGCUGAGGCGCGAAAGCGUGGGGAGCAAACAGGAUUAGAUACCCUAGUAGUCC
This 450-nucleotide ribosomal RNA is filed under the name uncultured bacterium. RNAcentral's name for it is "partial 16S ribosomal RNA". It matches the Rfam family "Bacterial small subunit ribosomal RNA", at positions 354 to 796 of the family's 1533-position model. The record is from RNAcentral.